AUCAUAGAAAUAAUAUCAACACCUAUGAAGGUUAACUGGGGUCUGGGGUUUGAUUCAUAUGUGCCACAAGCCUAACAAUAAACUACCCAGAAGCUGGUGAUGCAGCAAUAGCACCAUUCUUCAUCAUUUUAUGCUAUCCUCCAAAGAUGAUGGUCAAUAAUUAUUAGGUCAGUAAAUAUCUACAACUCUGUAAAGCUCUCCUCAACACACCCCUCCCUGAACAUAUUACUCACCCAUCUCGGAACCAUAACCACUAUGAUUGCUUAAGUUUAAGCCUCUCGAAUAUUUACUUUCAUGGAAUAUUACAAUUUCCCUAAAUAUUAUAAAGCAUUGCAAC
Molecule: long non-coding RNA, 337 nt
Organism: Ipomoea nil (Japanese morning glory)
Lineage: Eukaryota; Viridiplantae; Streptophyta; Magnoliopsida; Solanales; Convolvulaceae
Exons: 2
Source: RefSeq, a predicted model, not a curated record